Mauremys mutica (yellowpond turtle) is the source of this 306-nucleotide long non-coding RNA. RefSeq lists it as uncharacterized. The record is from RefSeq and is a predicted model, not a curated record. Lineage: Eukaryota; Metazoa; Chordata; Testudines; Geoemydidae. The transcript has 4 exons.
CCAGGGAAAGGGGCAGUCUCCAGGCUGGGAGAGACUCCCUGUAAAAGAGGAGACAGUAAGACCUCUCAGACUGCUGACUGUUGACUGCUAUACAGGUUCUGAAAUAAUCCAUUUAGAUGACCUGGGAUUUUGAUGUCUUCAUGUUCCAUCAAUGCUUUGCUAUCCACCACCUUGGUAACAUCACAGUUGGGAGUGACUGAUGUUCUUGGAUUCUGAUGUGCCUCUUGUGCAGUCUCAUUGUGAUGUCUUCUUAAUACUCCUUAGUAGUGAAUCUUUGAGCAGGACACCCACCCUAUUCAACGGUGC